GAGAGUUUGAUCCUGGCUCAGGAUGAACGCUGGCGGUAUGCUUAACACAUGCAAGUCGAACGGUCUCUUCGGAGAUAGUGGCGGACGGGUGAGUAACGCGUGAGAAUCUGGCUUCAGGUCGGGGACAACCACGGGAAACUGUGGCUAAUACCGGAUAUGCCGAGAGGUGAAAGGCUUGCUGCCUGAAGAUGAGCUCGCGUCUGAUUAGCUAGUAGGUGUGGUAAAAGCGCACCUAGGCGACGAUCAGUAGCUGGUCUGAGAGGAUGAUCAGCCACACUGGGACUGAGACACGGCCCAGACUCCUACGGGAGGCAGCAGUGGGGAAUUUUCCGCAAUGGGCGAAAGCCUGACGGAGCAAUACCGCGUGAGGGAGGAAGGCUCUUGGGUUGUAAACCUCUUUUCUCAGGGAAGAAAAAAAUGACGGUACUUGAGGAAUAAGCAUCGGCUAACUCCGUGCCAGCAGCCGCGGUAAUACGGAGGAUGCAAGCGUUAUCCGGAAUGAUUGGGCGUAAAGGGUCCGCAGGUGGCUAUGUAAGUCUGCUGUUAAAGAACCUAGCUUAACUAGGUAAAAGCAGUGGAAACUACAAGGCUGGAGUGCGUUCGGGGUAGAGGGAAUUCCUGGUGUAGCGGUGAAAUGCGUAGAUAUCAGGAAGAACACCAGUGGCGAAGGCGCUCUACUAGGCCGCAACUGACACUGAGGGACGAAAGCUAGGGGAGCGAUGGGAUUAGAUACCCCAGUAGUCUAGCCGUAAACGAUGGAUACUAGGCG
Molecule: ribosomal RNA, 769 nt
Filed under: Nodularia spumigena CCY9414
Lineage: Bacteria; Bacillati; Cyanobacteriota; Cyanophyceae; Nostocales; Nodulariaceae
Description: bacterial SSU rRNA
Rfam family: Bacterial small subunit ribosomal RNA
Source: RNAcentral